GGCUGCGCGCGCAGAAACGUGAAGUUGGUCGUGACGUCACCACGCCAGCCCUACUGGGACAAAGGAAGAUGUCUGGUGUCAUCGCAAAGUAUCACUGCAAUUAUUGUCAAGAGGACAUCACGGGGGUCCGCGUCAAAUGUGCCGAGUGCCCGGACUUCGACCUUUGUUUACAGUGUUUCUCGUGUGGAGCAGAGAUGGGUGCGCACAAGAACAGGCACGGUUAUCAGCUAAUUGACUGUGGGAACUUUCCCAUCUUCCAAGCGCCGUGCAACUGGAAGGCCAAGGAGGAACUCGUGCUCUUGGAGGCCAUAGAGCAGUAUGGCUUCGGGAACUGGGAAGAUGUGUCUCAGUGUCUGCCUUCCAGGAGUGUCGAAGAGGUCCAGGAGCAUUACAAUACCUUGUACAUAAUGGGGAACAUAGGCAAAGCUACAUGGUCGGUGGAACCGUCAUUCCUGGUGAAGGACCAUACCUCGCCCGACAGCGGGCCCCUGUCGCCGAGCGCAAAGAGCAACAUCUCGGCGGGCGACUUGACGGCGGCGGAGCAGCAGGAACUCGGAUACAUGCCUUGCAGGGACGACUACGAAAGGGAGUUUGACAACGAGGCAGAGUCCCUGAUCAGCCAGCUGUCGGUGGGGCCGGAGGAGGACGAGCUGGAGGUGGCGCUGAAGCUGGCCCAGGUCGACAUGUACUCCCGGCGGCUGAGGGAGCGGCUCAGGCGCAAGGCCCUGGCCAGGGACUACCGCCUGCUCGAGCAGUUCUGCGGCCAGGGCAGGGCCAAGGGGGCCGCCACGCCCGGCACCACCCCGUCCCGCAAGAGGCCCUGCCCCGACGAGGACAGGGAGCAACAGGAUAAGAUGCGGGUGUUCUGCCAAUUCCAGUCGUCCACGGACCACGAGCAGCUUUUCGAGAACCUCGAACGAGAGAAAGAGCUGAAAGCAAGAAUCAAGGACCUGAUGAGGUAUCGUCGCAAUGGGAUCACGAAAUUGGACGAGUGCGCGGAGUUUGACCUGGCCAGGCAUCGGCGGGAAAAGCGGAAAGAGAACAAAAAGAAGUCUUUUGCCCUGAAUGCAGGUCCAAGGCAGCUCCGCUCACAGAAAGCCCUCCUCAAUGGCGUCAAGAAAACACGAAGAAAAAGGAAGCGCCGACCCUACGCUAAGCGAACAAGGAGGUGACGUCGGAGAGGGAUCCAAAGAGGCCACCGACAUCUCCACUAUGCUCAGCUACGAGCUGCUCUCCGAAAAGGAGAGGAAGCUCUGCCAGUCGAUGGGAAUCAGCCCCACCUACUACAUCACCUUUAAGA
RNAcentral lists this unclassified non-coding RNA (1300 nucleotides) under Ixodes scapularis (black-legged tick). RNAcentral describes it as "transcriptional adapter 2-beta, transcript variant X3". The record is from RNAcentral. Lineage: Eukaryota; Metazoa; Arthropoda; Arachnida; Ixodida; Ixodidae.